AAGCAGUCAGGGCUGGCUGUCCGGGAAGCGAUACCGAGGUCAGCUCUAGAGAGGUCGGUGAGGCAGAUACGGCAGGCCGUGACCAGGUUGUUCUCAUGGUUGGCUCUCUUCAGUCUGUCUUUAAAAUGACCAGCCAUAAAGUCUGUGAUAAAGAUGGGGAGCUAACUGGGACAAAGAACAGAUGGUGAAAAGGAAAUUGACACCACAAGGCAGAGAACAGCCCUGCAGCCCGGGCUUGUAGGGCUUCCGGACUUUUCCAUCUGCCUGUGACCAGAAAUGUAGCAGAAGACCCAGGCUGGGCAGGAGAGUUAGGCAGGCUUGCUGAGCACUGGGCCACGGUAAGGCAGAGGCUCGGUCGGUUGGCUCCCCAGGGCCUGCACCCCUAACCUCUCAAGUUCUUGGCUUCCUUCCCGGUUAGCGUAACCGUUCCUUCUCAUUGUGUGAAGGUGUGUCUCUGUGUUUACAGCUGUCAUUUCUGUACCUGUAGAAAGCCAAGUGUUGGCAGGAUUCUGGCAUUGUCCUUUCUAUGCCCCACCAACUGGAUUUUCUACUUUACAAAUAUUCGUCCUUCCCCAUGUGCCUAAGGCAAUCUAGAAUAGAUUCAGAGAUUGCCUCACUACUGAUCCGUUGUAAUAAGGAGCAGGAAGGAGGAGGGUGCAGAAAGAAUGGUGCAGGGGAAGAAAGCAGAAGCAGAGGGAUGCAGAGUGGACGCGGAGGGAAGAGACACUGACUGCAGCAGAGCAGAGGCGUGUGGCGUGGGGCUUACGUCACGUGACAACUGAAGGUUGCCCUAGCGGAAGGCCUAAGCUUUGAACCAUAAUAAGAAUCUCAGGUCAUUAUUUAUACCACUGGUAGGUCGCAGGAAGUUCUGUUCUUCUUCCUCAUCUGCCCCUUCAGUGCUUCUUAGGGUGUUAGCUGGGAAGGAGGGAUAGGGACCUGCCUCAGCCUCCAGUGGCAGCACUGAGCACAGAGGAGCUUGGCUGGCCCUUGACCUUGUCAUGAUGGUGGCAAGGACCUGGAGUGCUGGCAGCAUACCUCAGCUCUAGUUCAAAAGUCUCAGAGCCAGAAAAGCCCCGGUAUAACUCAGCUAAAGACCCAGGAACUCAGGACUGCUGGGGCAUUCAAGUCCUGACAUCAUGGCAGCACAAGGAAGGCCUGUCUCUGAGUGCUGAGCCUGCCUCAGAGGGCAGGGCUGCCCUGGAGACAGAGACACACCCAGAACAGAGCUUCACCAGCUUUCUAGGGAUUCCUAAUCCAGUCAAGCCCAUACCAACACGUCUUGAUGCAUGGCUUUGGGCAGUUGUCCUAAAGUCUGAGUCCCGGCAGGUGGGCUUUACCUGUAACUUGCAGUAGGAUCCAGGAUCCCCCAGAUGUGCAUGGACCAGGGCUGGGGACCAAGGCUCACCAGCCUGCUUCCAUGAGGAUCCUCUAUGCACCAAAGGAAGGCACCACCUAAUCAUCUGUGUCUUGCCAGAGUCUGGUCGAGCUCAGAGGGUCCCUUCGUGGAAAGAGUCUCGGUGGACGCCAA
Long non-coding RNA from Apodemus sylvaticus (European woodmouse), 1528 nucleotides. RefSeq lists it as uncharacterized. The record is from RefSeq and is a predicted model, not a curated record. The transcript has 3 exons. Lineage: Eukaryota; Metazoa; Chordata; Mammalia; Rodentia; Muridae.